Molecule: long non-coding RNA, 1413 nt
Organism: Armigeres subalbatus
Lineage: Eukaryota; Metazoa; Arthropoda; Insecta; Diptera; Culicidae
Exons: 5
Source: RefSeq, a predicted model, not a curated record
AUCGAAUCGUAAUCGCCGAUGUUAAGAAGGAGAAGGCGGAUAAACCUGGGGAUAAACAAUCAACCUCCAAGGUAUUCAAUAACCGAGUUUAUUGUCAACAAUCCAUUAUUUGCCUCACACGGACGCGAAGAAGAAGUUGUGACGAUUACGCACACUUCUGCUGAUCGAAUGUUUCACUUCUGAGAAUAUAGAAACGCCUGUCGGAUUCUUUGCCUUUUUGGUGGCAGUGGUAAGAAAGCGCAUUGUGAGAGCAUGCCUGUCUUCUGUAUUCGAGAGUGCUGUCCGACUGGUGGCCAUCAUAGCCGCGGUGCUUUGAUGUAAUUAACUUGAUAGUGUCAAGCUCAUUCGGGUGACCAAUAACCAAAAUGAACCGAACAACAACAUGCAAGCGACACGGUGGCAAUUCACAUCUGGCUGGUUUGAACCUUCUUAGGAAACCAUUGCAAAACUAUCUCAAUCAGGCUCCUCCAUCGAGUCUUGAUCCGUUCAGUGAGGGAGGUCCAAAUAGCGAAGUGGGUUGAGGUACUGCUGGUGUUUUGGAUACGUGUUGGUUCAGCAGAUCCAAAUGGCUGUCCAAGCGGGAUAUUUGAAUCGUCAGAUCCUCAAUCAACCAUUGCCACCGGAAACCCUUUUAUUGUUGAAUCAGUUGCUGAAGUAUUUACAAUUACAUGUCAUGCAGAAUAAUUUACGAUGUGAAGGCGCUUCCAAUAAUCAAAUGCCGAUUAUUUCGAAAAUAAAGCAAAAAAUCGCUAGAUUGGAGAACCACCCAACAAGCAGUCAACAUGAAGCACCAACAGCAGGAUUUUGGAAAAGCAACUAGGUACCUGGCAAAUAACGUCGAUCGUGAACUGAAUGAUCUAACUACGUCUCAGAAUAAAUUAUCGGAAAUGAAAUUAGGUAAAGAACAUAUCACCAUAGCUCUAAAGGCGGUAGUAUCGGUACCGGUUCUACUAGUCAACACUGAUCAAUGGAAGUUGCCAACCAUUGACAAGGAUGAAGAACACGAUUUUACUGAUUUUUGUCGUGCAUCUAGAACGAUGGCAAAAUCCACACUUCCCACUUCCCACUACUGAAUCAAACAUCUACACCUGGUCCACCUGUCGUGGAGGAAUUGAAGGUGGAUGACCGGAUUUCUCAGUCGAUACUGUCAGUGACGGUUAGCCUGCUAGACAACAUACUUUCACAGAUUUGCUUGCUAUGCGCUUGAAUCUUGAAUACCUAGAAAGUUUUGUAUGCUAUUUUAAAUCAAUAAUCAGUUAUAUUGCAUCAGGGCACUAAAAUGUAUUAGUAUUGCAUGUAUUUUGCAAAUGAUAAUAAAAUUGAGAACCUAUACUGUAACGAUAAUUAUUGGCUGAAAUAACAUUAUUUCUUUACUGAGAUAAAUCAUGAAUUAAAAUUUAUAUUAAUAUUGUA